UUAAGCGACUAAGCGUACACGGUGGAUGCCCUGGCAGUCAGAGGCGAUGAAGGACGUGCUAAUCUGCGAAAAGCGUCGGUAAGGUGAUAUGAACCGUUAUAACCGGCGAUGUCCGAAUGGGGAAACCCAGUGUGAUUCGUCACACUAUCGUUAACUGAAUACAUAGGUUAACGAGGCGAACCGGGGGAACUGAAACAUCUAAGUACCCCGAGGAAAAGAAAUCAACCGAGAUUCCCCCAGUAGCGGCGAGCGAACGGGGAGCAGCCCAGAGUCUGAAUCAGCUUGUGUGUUAGUGGAACGGUCUGGAAAGUCCGACGGUACAGGGUGAUAGUCCCGUACACCAAAAUGCACAGGUUGUGAACUCGAAGAGUAGGGCGGGACACGUGGUAUCCUGUCUGAAUAUGGGGGGACCAUCCUCCAAGGCUAAAUACUCCUGACUGACCGAUAGUGAACCAGUACCGUGAGGGAAAGGCGAAAAGAACCCCGGCGAGGGGAGUGAAAAAGAACCUGAAACCGUGUACGUACAAGCAGUGGGAGCACCUUCGGGUGUGACUGCGUACCUUUUGUAUAAUGGGUCAGCGACUUAUAUUCUGUAGCAAGGUUAACCGUAUAGGGGAGCCGCAGGGAAACCGAGUCUUAACUGGGCGUUAAGUUGCAGGGUAUAGACCCGAAACCCGGUGAUCUAGCCAUGGGCAGGUUGAAGGUUGGGUAACACUAACUGGAGGACCGAACCGACUAAUGUUGAAAAAUUAGCGGAUGACUUGUGGCUGGGGGUGAAAGGCCAAUCAAACCGGGAGAUAGCUGGUUCUCCCCGAAAGCUAUUUAGGUAGCGCCUCGUGAAUUCAUCUUCGGGGGUAGAGCACUGUUUCGGCUAGGGGGUCAUCCCGACUUACCAACCCGAUGCAAACUACGAAUACCGAAGAAUGUUAUCACGGGAGACACACGGCGGGUGCUAACGUCCGUCGUGAAGAGGGAAACAACCCAGACCGCCAGCUAAGGUCCCAAAGUCAUGGUUAAGUGGGAAACGAUGUGGGAAGGCACAGACAGCCAGGAUGUUGGCUUAGAAGCAGCCAUCAUUUAAAGAAAGCGUAAUAGCUCACUGGUCGAGUCGGCCUGCGCGGAAGAUGUAACGGGGCUAAACCAUGCACCGAAGCUGCGGCAGCGACACUAUGUGUUGUUGGGUAGGGGAGCGUUCUGUAAGCCUGCGAAGGUGACCUGUGAGGGUUGCUGGAGGUAUCAGAAGUGCGAAUGCUGACAUAAGUAACGAUAAAGCGGGUGAAAAGCCCGCUCGCCGGAAGACCAAGGGUUCCUGUCCAACGUUAAUCGGGGCAGGGUGAGUCGACCCCUAAGGCGAGGCCGAAAGGCGUAGUCGAUGGGAAACAGGUUAAUAUUCCUGUACUUGGUGUUACUGCGAAGGGGGGACGGAGAAGGCUAUGUUAGCCGGGCGACGGUUGUCCCGGUUUAAGCAUGUAGGCUGGUUGUCCAGGCAAAUCCGGAUAAUCAAGGCUGAGGUGUGAUGACGAGGCACUACGGUGCUGAAGUAACAAACGCCCUGCUUCCAGGAAAAGCCUCUAAGCAUCAGGUAACAUUAAAUCGUACCCCAAACCGACACAGGUGGUCAGGUAGAGAAUACCAAGGCGCUUGAGAGAACUCGGGUGAAGGAACUAGGCAAAAUGGUGCCGUAACUUCGGGAGAAGGCACGCUGGUGUGUAGGUGAAGCCCCUGCGGGUGGAGCUGGGACCAGUCGAAGAUACCAGCUGGCUGCAACUGUUUAUUAAAAACACAGCACUGUGCAAACACGAAAGUGGACGUAUACGGUGUGACGCCUGCCCGGUGCCGGAAGGUUAAUUGAUGGGGUUAUCCGUAAGGAGAAGCUCUUGAUCGAAGCCCCGGUAAACGGCGGCCGUAACUAUAACGGUCCUAAGGUAGCGAAAUUCCUUGUCGGGUAAGUUCCGACCUGCACGAAUGGCGUAAUGAUGGCCAGGCUGUCUCCACCCGAGACUCAGUGAAAUUGAACUCGCUGUGAAGAUGCAGUGUACCCGCGGCAAGACGGAAAGACCCCGUGAACCUUUACUAUAGCUUGACACUGAACAUUGAGCCUUGAUGUGUAGGAUAGGUGGGAGGCUUUGAAGCGUGGACGCCAGUCUGCGUGGAGCCAACCUUGAAAUACCACCCUUUAAUGUUUGAUGUUCUAACGUUGGCCCCUGACCGGGGUUGCGGACAGUGUCUGGUGGGUAGUUUGACUGGGGCGGUCUCCUCCCAAAGCGUAACGGAGGAGCACGAAGGUUAGCUAAUCCUGGUCGGACAUCAGGAGGUUAGUGCAAUGGCAUAAGCUAGCUUGACUGCGAGCGUGACGGCGCGAGCAGGUGCGAAAGCAGGUCAUAGUGAUCCGGUGGUUCUGAAUGGAAGGGCCAUCGCUCAACGGAUAAAAGGUACUCCGGGGAUAACAGGCUGAUACCGCCCAAGAGUUCAUAUCGACGGCGGUGUUUGGCACCUCGAUGUCGGCUCAUCACAUCCUGGGGCUGAAGUAGGUCCCAAGGGUAUGGCUGUUCGCCAUUUAAAGUGGUACGCGAGCUGGGUUUAGAACGUCGUGAGACAGUUCGGUCCCUAUCUGCCGUGGGCGCUGGAGAAUUGAGGGGGGCUGCUCCUAGUACGAGAGGACCGGAGUGGACGCAUCACUGGUGUUCGGGUUGUCAUGCCAAUGGCACUGCCCGGUAGCUAAAUGCGGAAGAGAUAAGUGCUGAAAGCAUCUAAGCACGAAACUUGCCCCGAGAUGAGUUCUCCCUGAGACUUUAAGUCUCCUGAAGGAACGUUAAAGACGAUGACGUUGAUAGGCCGGGUGUGUAAGCGCAGCGAUGCGUUGAGCUAACCGGUACUAAUGAACCGUGAGGCUUAACCUU
RNAcentral lists this ribosomal RNA (2900 nucleotides) under Klebsiella pneumoniae BIDMC 40. RNAcentral's name for it is "bacterial LSU rRNA". It matches the Rfam family "Bacterial large subunit ribosomal RNA". The record is from RNAcentral. Lineage: Bacteria; Pseudomonadati; Pseudomonadota; Gammaproteobacteria; Enterobacterales; Enterobacteriaceae.